Molecule: long non-coding RNA, 621 nt
Filed under: Anser brachyrhynchus (Pink-footed goose)
Lineage: Eukaryota; Metazoa; Chordata; Aves; Anseriformes; Anatidae
Description: lncRNA (ENSABRG00000014965.1)
Source: RNAcentral
CUUUGCUAAUUUGUGACACAGUAAAUUUGAGUCGGUUUUUUGUCUUUUACCACAGCUUGUCGUACACAUUCACAUACAAUCCCAGACAAACAGCUUUUGGAACUGAAGAAGCAUUCAGCGGAAUUGGUGGUGGUGUACAGCGUAGCUUGACUAAUUAGGCCAGCAUUUACUGUGGUUAACGUGCAAUUUAUUCAAAGUGCAAGGAGGGAGAUGAUGUGUUUUCCCUAGCUGAGGGAGGAUCCCCAGGAGAUCAUACCAGCACUGACCAUGGAUAGGAACAACUCAGGGACAGCUCAGCAUCAUCUGCCCUUCCCUUUGCAUCAAGCUGGUGGAUACUGUGGCUGCAGAUAUAAAGCAAGCACUUUAGGAUUUCAUACAAGUGUCAGGAUGAGGAUUCAGAACAAGCACCCAGGGAAGACUUUUAAUUUUGAAAAAUGUGGAAGGGUUACCUGAGCAAUGGUUCAGGAGAAGACUCUAACCAGGGCAUCUCAAUGGCAUUUACUCUGCAGAGAAAGGGUGAAGUUUUCCCCCUGCUUCACUGAAUAGCUUUAAUACUGGUGUGUAGCUUAGCUAAGGAAAAAGAGAGUUCCUGUCACUCAAAAUAGUACUCUAAUCAUUGAG